RNAcentral lists this ribosomal RNA (802 nucleotides) under uncultured bacterium. RNAcentral describes it as "bacterial SSU rRNA". It matches the Rfam family "Bacterial small subunit ribosomal RNA", at positions 8 to 796 of the family's 1533-position model. The record is from RNAcentral.
AGAGUUUGAUCCUGGCUCAGGACGAACGCUGGCGGCGUGCCUAACACAUGCAAGUGGAGCGACGAACCGGGCUUCGGCCCGGGGCAAAGCCGCGAACGGGUGAGUAACACGUGGGUAACCUGCCCCGAUGACCGGGACAACCCGAGGAAACUCGGGCUAAUACCGGAUGUGCCCUACGACCUCAAGGUCGCUGGGGAAAGGAAGCUUCGGCCUCCGCAUCGGGAUGGGCCCGCGGCCCAUUAGCUUGUUGGUGAGGUAAUGGCUCACCAAGGCGACGAUGGGUAGCUGGUCUGAGAGGACGAUCAGCCACACUGGGACUGAGACACGGCCCAGACUCCUACGGGAGGCAGCAGUGGGGAAUCUUGCGCAAUGCGCGAAAGCGUGACGCAGCAACGCCGCGUGGGGGAAGAAUGCCUUCGGGUUGUAAACCCCUUUCAGUUGGGACGAAGCUUCGGCGGUGAAUAGCCGUUUGGAGUGACGGUACCUUCAGAAGAAGCCCCGGCUAACUACGUGCCAGCAGCCGCGGUAAUACGUAGGGGGCAAGCGUUGUCCGGAAUCAUUGGGCGUAAAGAGCGUGUAGGUGGCUCGGUAAGUCCGCUGUGAAAGUCCAGGGCUCAACCCUGGAAUGCCGGUGGAAACUGUCGAGCUAGAGUCCGGAAGAGGCGAGUGGAAUUCCUGGUGUAGCGGUGAAAUGCGCAGAUAUCAGGAGGAACACCAAUGGCGAAGGCAGCUCGCUGGGACGGUACUGACACUGAGACGCGAAAGCGUGGGGAGCAAACAGGAUUAGAUACCCCCGUAGUCC